Molecule: ribosomal RNA, 253 nt
Filed under: uncultured bacterium
Lineage: Bacteria
Description: partial 16S ribosomal RNA
Rfam family: Bacterial small subunit ribosomal RNA
Source: RNAcentral
UACGGGGGGGGCAAGCGUUGUUCGGAUUUACUGGGCGUAAAGGGCGCGUAGGCGGCGCGACAAGUCACUUGUGAAAUCUCCGGGCUUAACUCGGAACGGUCAAGUGAAACUGUCAUGCUAGAGUGCAGAAGGGGCAAUCGGAAUUCUUGGUGUAGCGGUGAAAUGCGUAGAUAUCAAGAGGAACACCUGAGGUGAAGACGGGUUGCUGGGCUGACACUGACGCUGAGGCGCGAAAGCCAGGGGAGCAAACGGG